This 423-nucleotide ribosomal RNA is filed under the name uncultured bacterium. RNAcentral describes it as "bacterial SSU rRNA". It matches the Rfam family "Bacterial small subunit ribosomal RNA", at positions 207 to 622 of the family's 1533-position model. The record is from RNAcentral.
AAGACCUUGCGCUUUUGGAGCGGCCGAUGUCUGAUUAGCUAGUUGGUGGGGUAAUGGCCUACCAAAGCUUCGAUCAGUAGCUGGUCUGAGAGGACGGCCAGCCACACUGGGACUGAGACACGGCCCAGACUCCUACGGGAGGCAGCAGUGGGGAAUUUUGGACAAUGGGCGCAAGCCUGAUCCAGCCAUGCCGCGUGAGUGAAGAAGGCCUUCGGGUUGUAAAGCUCUUUCAGCCGGGAAGAAAAGGCUGCGACUAAUAAUCGCAGUUCAUGACGGUACCGGAAGAAGAAGCACCGACUAACUACGUGCCAGCAGCCGCGGUAAUACGUAGGGUGCGAGCGUUAAUCGGAAUUACUGGGCGUAAAGGGUGCGCAGGCGGUUUUGUAAGUCAGAUGUGAAAUCCCCGGGCUUAACCUGGGAACU